UGCGAGUCAACACAGCAAUGUGUGGCAUACGGCUCAGUAACACGUAGUCAACAUGCCCAGGGGACGUGGAUAACCUCGGGAAACUGAGGAUAAACCGCGAUAAGUCACUACUUCUGGAAUGGGUAAUGACUUAAACCUAUAUGGCCCCUGGAUUGGACUGCGGCCGAUCAGGCUGUUGGUGAGGUAAUGGCCCACCGAACCUGUAACCGGUACGGGCUCUGAGAGGAGGAGCCCGGAGAUGGGCACUGAGACAAGGGCCCAGGCCCUAUGGGGCGCAGCAGGCGCGAAACCUCUGCAAUAGGCGAAAGCCUGACAGGGUUACUCUGAGUGAUUUCCGUUAAGGAGAUCUUUUGGCACCUCUAAAAAUGGUGCAGAAUAAGGGGUGGGCAAGUCUGGUGUCAGCCGCCGCGGUAAUACCAGCACCCCGAGUGGUCGGGACGUUUAUUGGGCCUAAAGCAUCCGUAGCCGGUUCUGCAAGUCUUCCGUUAAAUCCACCUGCUUAACAGAUGGGCCGCGGAAGAUACUAUAGAGCUAGGAGGCGGGAGAGGCAAGCGGUACUCGAUGGGUAGGGGUAAAAUCCGUUGAUCCAUUGAAGACCACCAGUGGCGAAGGCGGCUUGCCAGAACGCGCUCGACGGUGAGGGAUGAAAGCUGGGGGAGCAAACCGGAUUAGAUACCCGGGUAGUCCCAGCUGUAAACGAUGCAGACUCGGUGAUGAAUUGGCUUCAUGCCAAUUCAGUGCCGCAGGGAAGCCGUUAAGUUUGCCGCCUGGGGAGUACGGUCGCAAGACUGAAACUUAAAGGAAUUGGCGGGGGAGCACCACAAGGGGUGAAGCCUGCGGUUCAAUUGGAGUCAACGCCGGA
Molecule: ribosomal RNA, 862 nt
Filed under: uncultured archaeon
Lineage: Archaea
Description: bacterial SSU rRNA
Rfam family: Archaeal small subunit ribosomal RNA
Source: RNAcentral